RNAcentral lists this transfer RNA (71 nucleotides) under Echinops telfairi (small Madagascar hedgehog). Its description in RNAcentral is "tRNA (ENSETEG00000026965.1)". It matches the Rfam family "tRNA". Rfam says of the family: Transfer RNA (tRNA) molecules are approximately 80 nucleotides in length. Lineage: Eukaryota; Metazoa; Chordata; Mammalia; Afrosoricida; Tenrecidae. The record is from RNAcentral.
GAGGAUUUAGCUUAAGUUAAAGUGUUUGGUUUGCGUCCAAUUGAUGUAAGAGUACAGUCUUGCAGUCCUUA